UAGCAAAAUACGCCGUACGCGAAACUGAUUUGAUUGAUUGUUUUAUUUACGUGACUUUAAAUAAUUUAUUCGCCACGUUAAACGGUGGCCAACAAUAUCAAAAUAGCGCCACGGCGCCUCAAAUAAAUCGGAAAGUUCACCAAGAAUCACCUGCUCUUGAAAAGCGUACAGCAGUUGAGUAUACUGCCAGUUUUGCGUGGUAUUAUCAACGACACGACCAGAAACUCAAUGAAAUAUUCCGAGGAAAAAGUGUCCCAUCCAUUUACAGCCAGUUACCAGUACAUCGAGUCACCCCUCGAUAAUGAGGAAAAUGAAUAUCUCGCGCAACACUGCUUCUAUUUUCGUAUCCAAGCAAUCGAUAAAGUUUAACGAAAAUAAACAAAAUUCUUUGGAAGAAAAAAUAAUGAGAGGUUAUUCAUUGUGUUAAAUAGAGAAUAAAAUUUAUUUAAUCUAAGAUUUAACGAAGUGAAAAGCAAUGAAUUGUACAAUUAACGUUAGCUGUUGCGUGCCUCCUCCUCUUCCAAUGCGCGAAAAUGCCAGGAAAUGUGAUAUUCAUGCCAAGCCUAAGUUUCAACCCGUUUUAACGUCACCACACCAUCGAUGCAGUUACUAAAAUGAAAAUGUACUAAACUCGGGAACCAUUACAAACAUGCUCGGGUUUAUGUUAGCGGUAAUAUUACGGAAAAUUCAUGCUAAUGGUAAUAAUUUCAUCGGACCAAAAUUGAGCGGAAGCAGCGCGUUCGAUAAUCUAAUGCCCAGAUGCAGGAUCAAAUGUAUAUCACUACUGACUCAGAGGAAAACAAGCAAACUGCUGAACAGGAUGUUUUCCAGUACAGUCGAUGAGAUUCACGUAGAGCGUAUGUGUGCAGAAGCCUGGUCGAAACACCGUAUAACAAGUGGUCGUCACUAACUCCAUUGUGAACAAGCUCAAUACCAAUUACUAAGAAGAAGCAGUAAUAGGGAUCUUUCAGAGUCAUCGAGUUAUUCAAUUUUCUGGUGCAAAUUGCGAACUCGUUUUGCUUCGGCCAUUAGGCGAAAUUUUACAUGUAACAAUAUCAACGUAUUACCGUACUUGGAUGUAGCACAAAUUAAAUCGUUUUCGAUUGUAA
This is a long non-coding RNA of Topomyia yanbarensis, 1109 nucleotides long. RefSeq lists it as uncharacterized. The record is from RefSeq and is a predicted model, not a curated record. The transcript has 4 exons. NCBI's taxonomy places the organism in Eukaryota, Metazoa, Arthropoda, Insecta, Diptera, Culicidae.